AUUGAACGCUGGCGGCAGGCCUAACACAUGCAAGUCGAGCGGAUGAAGGGAGCUUGCUCCUGGAUUCAGCGGCGGACGGGUGAGUAAUGCCUAGGAAUCUGCCUGGUAGUGGGGGAUAACGUCCGGAAACGGGCGCUAAUACCGCAUACGUCCUGAGGGAGAAAGUGGGGGAUCUUCGGACCUCACGCUAUCAGAUGAUCCUAGGUCGGAUUAGCUAGUUGGUGGGGUAAAGGCCUACCAAGGCGACGAUCCGUAACUGGUCUGAGAGGAUGAUCAGUCACACUGGAACUGAGACACGGUCCAGACUCCUACGGGAGGCAGCAGUGGGGAAUAUUGGACAAUGGGCGAAAGCCUGAUCCAGCCAUGCCGCGUGUGUGAAGAAGGGCUUCGGAUUGUAAAGCACUUUAAGUUGGGAGGAAGGGCAGUAAGUUAAUACCUUGCUGUUUUGACGUGACCAAAAGAAUAAGCACCGGCUAACUUCGUGC
Molecule: ribosomal RNA, 485 nt
Filed under: uncultured bacterium
Lineage: Bacteria
Description: partial 16S ribosomal RNA
Rfam family: Bacterial small subunit ribosomal RNA
Source: RNAcentral